UUGUGCUUACCUUGCAUAAUACUGCAAUGAUUCAUUUGAGUGCCCAAUUAGUUAUAAAAAUGUUGUGAUAGACGUCCGUUGACGUUACACGUCAAACAACACCCAUUGCAAAAAGCAGGAAAUCUUUUUUUUAAAUACACGAUCAUUUGUAUUCAUCUUAGUUAAAUGACACAUUUACAUAUAUAAUGUUAUAAUAUCUGCUUUCACAAUUUAAAGUGGAUGAUUGCCAAAACUGUGCUGUCAAAAUCGGUGAUUCAUACUCCACUCCAGUUGGUGGCGGUAAUGCGCCUUCAGUUGAUUUACCAUCAGCAAUAAACUCUAAAGAAGAAGAAGACUCGGGAAUGGCGGUGUGGUUUAUUUCGAAAAGUGACGGAGUUAUACAAAUACUACUGUUGGGAUUCCAAAGGAAAAUUUUCCAUGCUUUUCGGUUUUAAAGAUGAACUUCAGUGAAUAUCUGGCAUUCUGGAACAUGGCAAGUCUACAUCUUCUAUUAAGAGAUUGCAUUGUGACAAAGAAUGUGUGUGUUUGUGCGGAUGUAGUUUGUGUUUGUUUGUUUUUCUCUAUCUCUUUCUCUGUGUAGAUACAAAUAUUUGGGUAGUAAACAAAAGAACCAUAGUGACAGCAACAAAUCUGAAAACAAAACUGUAAUUUUUCUGAGGUGAAGUAAUCCGGAGUCAUUUAUUUCACAGAAUCACGUUAAAUGCAUUUAUGGUGAAAUUCAUUAUGAGGGGUGGUGGUCAACUUAAAAAGAAGCCAUUCAAAGCUAUACUAUGUAAUUCAAGGUAAUUUUGGCCUUAUGACAUUGCAAAAAUCUCUUGUUCCUUGUCUAUUUUUUCAUUUAUGUAAUUUUUAUUUUCUCUAUUUAGUGGACUUCUCUGUAAGAACAUCAGGUUUUACCAGAAAUACCACUUUUACAAAGUUUACAGGGUCUUUCUCAAGGGCACCGCUAAUCUAACAUAUAUUCUUUGUCACAAUCUAGACUCUUCAUAGAAGAUGAAGACUUGCCAUGAUCAAGAAUACCAGCUAUUUGCUGAAGUUCAUCUUUCAAAACGAACAGCAUGGAGUACAGUACUCAUCAGAUGCUGUGAACAGGUGUAGCCCAAAUGCAACAGAUUCAGACUUUGAUGCAGCAAUGGCGGAACACAUGAAGCACACUGGGGUUGAUGGAUACUUGUUUUAUGGCUGGUUUAACAGUAAUACAAGACUGUUAGGAAAUAAUUUGGUAGUGCCAUAGCUCUGACUUCCAUGCAUCAAUGGUGGAACACAUGAAUCACACUCCUGGCAGAGCCGGUGGUCGGGGACCAAGAAAAUGAGUAAACAUUUUGAAAAAAAUGGACUAAAGUAGUGUCAUAUGUUUUUGUAAUACUGUACUUUUGUCAUUUUCAUGUUUGAUUAAUGGCUGCUAAACAUCAAUGUUAAACUCCAUUGCUUUCGAGAUUCUACUGUUUUUAUUUUCUUGUUUGAAUAGUAGCUGUCAAACAAAUGGAAGACCAUUCAAAAAUGUGAUGUUCACUAUAAAAUAUGCUGUGCUAAAUUAAAACACUAAAUUUUGCCUAAAUCCACAAAUAAAGUGUUAUUGUU
Long non-coding RNA from Triplophysa dalaica, 1581 nucleotides. RefSeq lists it as uncharacterized. The record is from RefSeq and is a predicted model, not a curated record. The transcript has 3 exons. Lineage: Eukaryota; Metazoa; Chordata; Actinopteri; Cypriniformes; Nemacheilidae.